Molecule: ribosomal RNA, 560 nt
Filed under: Erwinia sp. R12-8
Lineage: Bacteria; Pseudomonadati; Pseudomonadota; Gammaproteobacteria; Enterobacterales; Erwiniaceae
Description: bacterial SSU rRNA
Rfam family: Bacterial small subunit ribosomal RNA
Source: RNAcentral
AGGGGGAUAACUACUGGAAACGGUAGCUAAUACCGCAUAACGUCUUCGGACCAAAGUGGGGGACCNUCGGGCCUCACACCAUCGGAUGUGCCCAGAUGGGAUUAGCUAGUAGGUGGGGUAAUGGCUCACCUAGGCGACGAUCCCUAGCUGGUCUGAGAGGAUGACCAGCCACACUGGAACUGAGACACGGUCCAGACUCCUACGGGAGGCAGCAGUGGGGAAUAUUGCACAAUGGGCGCAAGCCUGAUGCAGCCAUGCCGCGUGUAUGAAGAAGGCCUUCGGGUUGUAAAGUACUUUCAGCGGGGAGGAAGGCGAUAAGGUUAAUAACCUUGUCGAUUGACGUUACCCGCAGAAGAAGCACCGGCUAACUCCGUGCCAGCAGCCGCGGUAAUACGGAGGGUGCAAGCGUUAAUCGGAAUUACUGGGCGUAAAGCGCACGCAGGCGGUCUGUCAAGUCAGAUGUGAAAUCCCCGGGCUUAACCUGGGAACUGCAUUUGAAACUGGCAGGCUAGAGUCUUGUAGAGGGGGGUAGAAUUCCAGGUGUAGCGGUGAAAUGCGUA